RNAcentral lists this transfer RNA (82 nucleotides) under Stegodyphus mimosarum. It matches the Rfam family "tRNA". Rfam says of the family: Transfer RNA (tRNA) molecules are approximately 80 nucleotides in length. Their secondary structure includes four short double-helical elements and three loops (D, anti-codon, and T loops). Lineage: Eukaryota; Metazoa; Arthropoda; Arachnida; Araneae; Eresidae. The record is from Rfam by way of RNAcentral.
GCCUUCGUGGUGUAGUGGUCAGCACGCUCGGCGCAUACAUUUGCUAUUCGAGAGGUCCGAGGUUCGAGUCCCAGUGAGGGCA